This 73-nucleotide transfer RNA is filed under the name Candidatus Kentrum sp. FW. RNAcentral's name for it is "Candidatus Kentron sp. FW tRNA_Lys_CTT". It matches the Rfam family "tRNA". From Rfam's summary of the family: Transfer RNA (tRNA) molecules are approximately 80 nucleotides in length. Their secondary structure includes four short double-helical elements and three loops (D, anti-codon, and T loops). Lineage: Bacteria; Pseudomonadati; Pseudomonadota; Gammaproteobacteria. RNAcentral also lists the same sequence under 2 other names. The record is from RNAcentral.
GGGCCACUAGCUCAAUUGGCAGAGCUGCGGACUCUUAAUCCGUCGGUUCCAGGUUCAAGUCCUGGGUGGCCCA